UCUUAUGUACAUUCUUACAGCAUAGCGUUAAUGUACCAGAUCCCAUUACAACUUCGUAGUUAAGCACGCUCGGGAUAGAGUAGUAUUGUGAUGGGUGAUUUCCCAAGAAGUCCUAGUAUUUAUAAACU
Molecule: non-coding RNA, 128 nt
Organism: Picea glauca (white spruce)
Lineage: Eukaryota; Viridiplantae; Streptophyta; Pinopsida; Pinales; Pinaceae
Source: Rfam